Molecule: ribosomal RNA, 404 nt
Filed under: Actinomycetes bacterium
Lineage: Bacteria; Bacillati; Actinomycetota; Actinomycetes
Description: Actinobacteria bacterium partial 16S ribosomal RNA
Rfam family: Bacterial small subunit ribosomal RNA
Source: RNAcentral
UGGGGAAUAUUGGACAAUGGGCGCAAGCCUGAUCCAGCCAUGCCGCGUGAGUGAUGAAGGCCCUAGGGUUGUAAAGCUCUUUCACCGGUGAAGAUAAUGACGGUAACCGGAGAAGAAGCUCCGGCUAACUUCGUGCCAGCAGCCGCGGUAAUACGAAGGGGGCUAGCGUUGUUCGGAUUUACUGGGCGUAAAGCGCACGUAGGCGGACUUUUAAGUCAGGGGUGAAAUCCCGGGGCUCAACCCCGGAACUGCCUUUGAUACUGGAAGUCUUGAGUAUGGUAGAGGUGAGUGGAAUUCCGAGUGUAGGAGUGAAAUUCGUAGAUAUUCGGAGGAACACCAGUAGCGAAGGCGGCUCACUGGACCAUUAAUGACGAUGAGGUGCGAAAGCGUGGGGAGCAAACAGG